GUGAAGUGAGGGGGAGGGAGUCGAGGAUACAUAGGCUACUGACUUUUUUAAGUAGUUGUGUCUUACGCCCUUGGUUUAACCUGAAGUUGUAGGUUAGGUUGCAGACGUUGAGUAAUAAUGUCAACCAAGAUGUUGCUGCCAGCAGCAAGAAUUGCAACGAGAAGGCUAUUGUCAACGUCUGCAGCCGCAAGUGCUCAACAAAUGACUGUUCGUGAUGCAUUGAAUUCUGCACUUGACGAAGAGAUGGCGAGAGAUGAAAGAGUAUUUAUUCUUGGUGAAGAAGUUGCACUUUAUGAUGGAGCAUACAAAGUGUCUAGAGGUCUUUGGAAAAAGUAUGGUGACAAGAGAGUUAUUGACACACCAAUCACAGAAAUGGGCUUUGCUGGACUUGCCGUGGGAGCAGCAAUGGCGGGUUUGCGGCCUAUAUGUGAAUUCAUGACAUUUAAUUUCUCCAUGCAAGCAAUUGACCAGGUUAUAAACUCUGCUGCCAAGACAUUUUAUAUGUCUGCUGGUUCGGUGAACGUACCAAUAGUUUUCCGAGGACCUAAUGGUGCUGCAGCUGGAGUAGCAGCUCAACAUUCCCAAUGUUUUGGUGCGUGGUACAGCCACUGUCCAGGACUGAAGGUGCUCUCGCCCUACUCGUCAGAAGAUGCAAAAGGACUCCUUAAGGCUGCUAUCAGGGAUCCAGAUCCUGUAGUUUGUUUAGAAAAUGAAAUAUUAUAUGGUGUUCAGUUUCCUAUGAGUGAUGAAGCUCUUUCAAAUGACUUCCUUAUUCCAAUUGGCAAAGCAAAAAUAGAGCGACAAGGAAAGCAUGUGACUAUAGUUGCACACUCUAGGGCAGUAGAGUUGUGCCUGCAUGCAGCAUCGCAACUUGCUGGUGAAGGAAUAGAAGCAGAAGUAAUAAAUCUGCGGUCAUUGCGCCCUCUCGAUGAAGAAACCAUUGUCAAAUCGGUAGUUAAAACUAACCAUCUUAUUAGUGUUGAACAAGGAUGGCCCCAAUGUGGAAUUGGUUCUGAAAUCUCUGCCAGGAUUAUGGAAAGUGAAGCCUUUUAUCAUCUGGAUUCUCCAGUAAUCCGUGUAACUGGAGUUGAUACACCUAUGCCAUACUGUAAGACGUUAGAAGAACAUGCUCUACCACAGUCGAAAGAUGUUGUCGAUGCAGUAAAAAAAGUUUUGGGUGUAAAGUAACUGCUUUCGUUUUGCUGUCUUCCGUUGCCACGCCAGACUGAUCAGUGAGUGACUGGAUGGAAGCCUUCAACCCGCUUACCGAUUUUACGUGAAGCUGGGGACAUAAGCAGUGUGACGUGCAUAAAUUAUUGAAUUCCGUGUGAAAUGAUGAACAUUUGUUAUAUAGUUUGUUAAAAAUUUUAUUGUUUGUUGUCUCGUUUGUUGUAAAUGUGAAGUGAUUCUCACAGUGUGGCUGCAAUUACAGAGGAAUUUGUUAUGUCGCUUAAAUUAAGUCUACCUCAUAGGCAGCAAAUGAACACUUGAUAUUAUGUAGACCAAUUUUUCACAUGAUUCCUGUGUAAUUUUUUUUUUUUACUCGGAUGAGCAAAACAGCUGCAGAACAAGAGUUACACGUGUUAGUGUACUGUCACUGCGAUUUCAGGUGCGGCUUGAAAAUUGUAAUGUUCUGGAUGGAAAGACAUGCAUAGUAGUUGGUGAGAAUAGGUAUCAUUAGAGAUAAAUUUUAUGAUAUUAUUUUGAAUCUUCACUGGCUACUGAUGUGAUUAAAAAGUGUUUUUUGCUCAUCAAUAAAUACAUAAAACUGGACUAUA
Molecule: RNA transcript, 1778 nt
Organism: Schistocerca nitens (vagrant locust)
Lineage: Eukaryota; Metazoa; Arthropoda; Insecta; Orthoptera; Acrididae
Gene: Pdhb
Gene name: pyruvate dehydrogenase E1 component subunit beta, mitochondrial
Exons: 10
Source: RefSeq, a predicted model, not a curated record